UCCACGCCGUAAACGAUGUCGACUUGGAGGUUGUGCCCUUGAGGCGUGGCUACCGGAGCUAACGCGUUAAGUCGACCGCCUGGGGAGUACGGCCGCAAGGUUAAAACUCAAAUGAAUUGACGGGGGCCCGCACAAGCGGUGGAGCAUGUGGUUUAAUUCGAUGCAACGCGAAGAACCUUACCUGGUCUUGACAUCCACAGAACUUUCCAGAGAUGGAUUGGUGCCUUCGGGAACUGUGAGACAGGUGCUGCAUGGCUGUCGUCAGCUCGUGUUGUGAAAUGUUGGGUUAAGUCCCGCAACGAGCGCAACCCUUAUCUUUUGUUGCCAGCGGUCCGGCCGGGAACUCAAAGGAGACUGCCAGUGAUAAACUGGAGGAAGGUGGGGAUGACGUCAAGUCAUCAUGGCCCUUACAACCAGGGCUACACACGUGCUACAAUGGCGCAUACAAAGAGAAGCGACCUCGCGAGAGCAAGCGGACCUCAUAAAGUGCGUCGUAGUCCGGAUUGGAGUCUGCAACUCGACUCCAUGAAGUCGGAAUCGCUAGUAAUCGUGGAUCGGAAUGCCACGGUGAAUACGUUCCCGGGCCUUGUACACACCGCCCGUCACACCAUGGGAGUGGGUUGCAAAAGAAGUAGGUAGCUUAACCUUCGGGAGGGCGCUUACCACUUUGUGAUUCAUGACUGGG
Molecule: ribosomal RNA, 685 nt
Filed under: Escherichia sp.
Lineage: Bacteria; Pseudomonadati; Pseudomonadota; Gammaproteobacteria; Enterobacterales; Enterobacteriaceae
Description: bacterial SSU rRNA
Rfam family: Bacterial small subunit ribosomal RNA
Source: RNAcentral